RNAcentral lists this ribosomal RNA (440 nucleotides) under uncultured bacterium. RNAcentral's name for it is "partial 16S ribosomal RNA". It matches the Rfam family "Bacterial small subunit ribosomal RNA", at positions 338 to 795 of the family's 1533-position model. The record is from RNAcentral.
CCUACGUGAGGCAGCAGUGGGGAAUAUUGCACAAUGGGGGGAACCCUGCUGCAGCGCCGCCGCGUGAGUGAAGAAGUAUUUCGGUAUGUAAAGCUCUAUCAGCAGGGAAGAAAAUGACGGUACCUGACUAAGAAGCCCCGGCUAACUACGUGCCAGCAGCCGCGGUAAUACGUAGGGGGCACGCGUUCUCCGGAUGUACUGGGUGUAAAGGGAGCGCAGACGGCUGUGCAAGUCUGGAGUGAAAGGCGGGGGCCCAACCCCCGGACUGCUCUGGAAACUGUAAAGCUGGAGUGCAGGAGAGGUAAGCGGAAUUCCGAGUGUAGCGGUGAAAGGCGUAGAUAUUAGGAGGAACACCAGUGGCGAAGGCGGCUUACUGGACUGCAACUGACGUUGAGGCUCGAAAGCGUGGGGAGCAAACAGGAUUAGAUACCCUUGUAGUC